AAAUUGAAGAGUUUGAUCAUGGCUCAGAUUGAACGCUGGCGGCAGGCCUAACACAUGCAAGUCGAACGGUAGCACAGAGAGCUUGCUCUCGGGUGACGAGUGGCGGACGGGUGAGUAAUGUCUGGGAAACUGCCUGAUGGAGGGGGAUAACUACUGGAAACGGUGGCUAAUACCGCAUAACGUCGCAAGACCAAAGAGGGGGACCUUCGGGCCUCUUGCCAUCAGAUGUGCCCAGAUGGGAUUAGCUUGUUGGUGAGGUAACGGCUCACCAAGGCGACGAUCCCUAGCUGGUCUGAGAGGAUGACCAGCCACACUGGAACUGAGACACGGUCCAGACUCCUACGGGAGGCAGCAGUGGGGAAUAUUGCACAAUGGGCGCAAGCCUGAUGCAGCCAUGCCGCGUGUAUGAAGAAGGCCUUCGGGUUGUAAAGUACUUUCAGCGGGGAGGAAGGUGUUGUGGUUAAUAACCGCAGCAAUUGACGUUACCCGCAGAAGAAGCACCGGCUAACUCCGUG
Molecule: ribosomal RNA, 515 nt
Filed under: Salmonella enterica subsp. enterica serovar Sundsvall
Lineage: Bacteria; Pseudomonadati; Pseudomonadota; Gammaproteobacteria; Enterobacterales; Enterobacteriaceae
Description: bacterial SSU rRNA
Rfam family: Bacterial small subunit ribosomal RNA
Source: RNAcentral